CACACAGUAAACGAUGAAUACUCGCUGUUUGCGAUAUACAGUAAGCGGCCAAGCGAAAGCAUUAAGUAUUCCACCUGGGGAGUACGCCGGCAACGGUGAAACUCAAAGGAAUUGACGGGGGCCCGCACAAGCGGAGGAACAUGUGGUUUAAUUCGAUGAUACGCGAGGAACCUUACCCGGGCUUGAAUUGCAGAGGAAUAUAGUGGAAAGAUUAUCGCCGCAAGGUCUCUGUGAAGGUGC
This 240-nucleotide ribosomal RNA is filed under the name uncultured bacterium. Its description in RNAcentral is "partial 16S ribosomal RNA". It matches the Rfam family "Bacterial small subunit ribosomal RNA", at positions 796 to 1041 of the family's 1533-position model. The record is from RNAcentral.